CAGCAGCCACUAAACUGGAGAAUUGCUGCCAGGAAAGCACUGGUGAAAGAUGUUCGACAAUUGUCAACUCAGCAUCAGACAUUCUCCCCGGAGGCCUACCAUUCCCUCAUCCUGCACCUUGCUCCCAAACACACUGGUUUCUAUUUUCUUGGGUGGUACAGCAGGCUUCUCUUGGCGGCCCUACAUUUCAACAGUAAUGGCAACAGAGAUGUAGCUCGAACCAGUGAGGGUGAGGCACGCUAUGCCGUUCGCUACCCGCUCUUUCGGAAAGGUGGCUGGGUAGUCCGCCCCAUCAAGGAUAAACCAUCUUACGGAUACGCAACAAAUCUUAUGGUCUCUGGCAGAGGAAUACUCUAGAUCACCCCAGGCCCUACAAGAAAGCAGUGCGGUCUUGUCUUCUGCUGCCCCGCCCCCCCUCACCACUUCCCUCCAGAAGGUUGCCAAGGAUGAGGCAGACAGCCUCCAUCUCGGACGACACUUGCGUUUUAACAUGGACUGCUGUGCUGCUUUCAAGUUCCUGGACACCAGAGCUCAGAAGCACCUGUCACGGGACUGCUGGAAGACCACAGAGGCUAUUAUCAGAGAGGCCACUUCUGGAAAUCUCGGAAACUGUUAUGAAACGAUAAGUCCUCCUCAACUCCUCUUUUCUGAAACCCAUCGGUCCCUUUCUGCCUCAAAAAAGUCUGACUGCUGGAACUCCAUCCAGGUCAACUCCUUGGCCAUGCCCUUGUCCUUGUAAAGGGACAACACUCUGGAGGGGCAGUAUAUGUAUUUCCCUCGGAUGUCAGGGAAACAGGCAUGGACAUGAGGGCUGCCAGGACCCUGCUUCGGUGGCUGGUGACAAAAUCUGAACAGGCGACCUGUUGGACGCUGCAGUGCAGACUUUCUCUUUGUCCUCUCUGCCACCUUCUUGCACACUGCACUCCUCUCUUCUACAGCCUCAAGCUCUCUGGCAAGAAAGGGGGAGCCAGCAAAGUCCUCAAAAGACAUCCUGGGGUCUUUGAGGCCUUCAUCUCCAUACAUUUGAAAGACUCGGUGGAGCAGUAAAAGUACCACACCUCGGGACUGAAAGAAAAGUGAACAGUGGAUCCAUCGCAAAGGUACCUGGAUUUUGGCUGACCACAGGACAAGCUGUUUCUGGGCACCUUUUUCUUCUGCUGUGGUUGUUGCUGCUGUUUCUGCAGGAUCUCUGUCAGAGGAGGCUGUUGGGAUCAGUGCACGGCCUCUGCACCGUGGCAGCAUAUUCUGCAUCCACCCUCUUUAGAAUACCCUUGGCUCCAUUGUGUUUAGCCAGAAGCCCAUCGGUGGCUGCUCUCAUCGGGGCCGUCCACCGGCCGUGGUCCAGGACUUGAACCAGGCCUCCCGUCUUAAUGGGUCCAGUGCGGGCGGCUCGAGGAGAGCAGGAUAUGGGCAGUGGCGCUACCCCUCGCAGGUCUUGGGAAUAAAGCAUAUGUUUAUUAUAUUGUUUAUAUUAUUAUUACAAGCUAAUUUUAUACAGUAGCAUAUGUGAAGUUGUUUUUAACGGUUAACUGUUGUGCAUGAGGAAUGGUAGGUGGGUAACCUGUAUCCAUCAAAGGGUGAGACUCUUCUUUGGCUGUGGCAGAUGCUGGUAUAGGUGGCUUGAAAUGGAGGAUCGGCACUGCUCCCACUGGGUUGUCCUGGGAAGUGCCAUCACUGGUCUCCUGAAAUACAGCAUCAAAUAUAAUGAAUGAGUCAGUCAUUCUGUCAGCGGGUUGGAAAUUGACAGUGUGUGAUUCAUCUGGAUUACCUGAGAGUCUGUGCCCGCUACAAUGUCAUGCACUUCAUCCUGGGCAGAGGAGUGCAGCUGUGUCGCCACAGUUACAGCAGCAGAGGUGUUGUGCUGUGUCCUGUGUUUGUCCCAGUUUAAAACCACAGGACGACAGCCUGGCUCCACAUACUGCAGACCGAAUCUCUCCCCUGUGUCCCUGUUUGAUAUGUGCAGGGUUGGAUAUUUUGGCACCCCUGUCACCCUUUGACAGGCUGCGUUCAGUUCCCAAAUGAGCGCAGGGUCAAACAGCUUGCAGCUCCACACACACUGGGUGUGGAGCACCCACUGUCACCCACUGGGCCUCUAGUAACCUCUGAGGAUGUGAACACGCUAAAUCCUCCACACUGUUAACAUCGACGGCUUAAACAGCGGCCUACCAUCAAGAUCAGUCUCCAAUUAGAAUCGCUGCAGAAAGCGCUCAA
Long non-coding RNA from Gadus morhua (Atlantic cod), 2211 nucleotides. RefSeq lists it as uncharacterized. NCBI's taxonomy places the organism in Eukaryota, Metazoa, Chordata, Actinopteri, Gadiformes, Gadidae. The transcript has 4 exons. The record is from RefSeq and is a predicted model, not a curated record.